CUGAACUGUCAACACGAGUUGUUGCUGGUCCUCAAAUGGGGGCAUGUGCACAUUCUGUUUACACACCCACUCACACCUGUGCACCCUCUGUAGUUCUGUGGUGUGGGGGACUCUGUCCUCCCACCGUGGUUCUGCGUCUUUACACACACACACAGUUAUAAAGUCUCAUGGAAUGUAUGUCGCGUUUAACGCAAUACAAUA
This 201-nucleotide unclassified non-coding RNA is filed under the name uncultured Thelephoraceae. RNAcentral describes it as "sequence contains ITS1". Lineage: Eukaryota; Fungi; Basidiomycota; Agaricomycetes; Thelephorales; Thelephoraceae. The record is from RNAcentral.